Rattus norvegicus (Norway rat) is the source of this 5067-nucleotide non-coding RNA. Lineage: Eukaryota; Metazoa; Chordata; Mammalia; Rodentia; Muridae. The record is from RefSeq and is a predicted model, not a curated record.
CAUAGGGGCGGAAGCGGAAGUGGAGCUGGGACGGUGAGGGGGCUGGACUGCCGCGUCCCCAGCGGUCUUGGCGCUGAGGGGCGGCGGCCAGCGCGAUGGAGAAACGCAGGAUGAACCUGCCCACCGGGCCGGACACGCUGUGCUUCGAUAAGGAUGAAUUCAUGAAGGAGGACUUCGAUGUGGACCAUUUUGUGUCUGACUGCAGGAAGCGGGUGCAGCUGGAGGAGCUGAGAGACGACCUGGAGUUGUAUUACAAGCUGCUCAAGACAGCCAUGGUGGAGCUCAUCAACAAGGACUAUGCCGACUUCGUCAACCUCUCAACAAACCUGGUCGGCAUGGACAAAGCCCUCAACCAGCUUUCUGUGCCUUUGGGACAACUACGGGAAGAGGUUCUGAGUCUGAGGUCAUCAGUCAGUGAAGGAAUUCUGGCAGUAGAGGAACGGAUGUCUAAGCAAGAUGACAUCAGGAAGAAGAAGAUGAGCGUGCUGAGACUUAUACAAGUCAUUCGAUCGGUUGAGAAAAUUGAAAAAAUCUUGAACUCCCAAAGUUCUAAGGAUGCGUCCUCACAAGAAGCAAGCAGCCCACUCUUGACUGGACAGGUUUUGGAGAGAAUUGCCACAGAGUUUAACCAGCUUCAGUUUCACGCUGUGCAAAGCAAGGGCAUGCCCCUUUUGGACAAAGUGAGACCCCGCAUAGCUGGGAUCACAGCCAUGCUGCAGCAAUCUCUGGAAGGCCUCCUACUAGAGGGCUUGCAGACCUCAAAUGUGGACAUCAUCCGCCAUUGCCUGCGGACCUACGCCACCAUUGACAAGACACGGGACGCAGAAGCUCUGGUCGGCCAAGUCCUGGUGAAGCCAUAUGUCAGUGAGGUGAUUGUUGAGCGGGUCGUUGAUUCUCAUCCCAGUGGCCUGCAGCUCAUGUACAACAAACUCCUGGAAUUCGUCCCUCACCACUGCCGCCUUCUCCGGGAAGUCACAGGAGGAGCUGUGUCAAGUGAGAAAGGCACUAUCGUUCCUGGCUAUGAUUUCUUGGUGAAUUCUGUGUGGCCGGAAAUAGUUGGAGGACUAGAGGAAAAGCUACCCUCACUUUUCAACCCUGGGGACCCUGACGCCUUUCACCAGAAAUACACGGUGAGCAUGGACUUCGUGAGGAGGUUUGAGCGGCAGUGUGGAUCCCAGGCCAGCGUAAAGCGACUGCGAGCCCAUCCUGCCUACCACAGCUUCAGCAACAAGUGGAACUUGCCUGUCUACUUCCAGAUAAGGUUCAGAGAAGUGGCAGGAUCCUUAGAAGCAUCCCUCACAGAUGGGCUAGAAGACGCCCCAGCUGGAAGUCCGUAUUGCCUUCUGGCUUCUCACAGAACAUGGAUCAGUCUGAGCAAAUGCUGGUCCGAUGAGAUGUUCCUGCCUUUGUUGGCACAUCGUCUGUGGAGGCUCACGCUGCAGAUUCUGGCCCGAUUCUCUGUGUUUGUCAGUGAGCUUUCUGUCAGGCCCAUCUCUAAUGAAACUGCCAAGGAGACUAAAAAGCCUUUGGCAGGCAGCAAAGACCCUUCGGACGACCAUGGAAGCCAUCCUUCAGAAGCAGGCGCUGUGCCCAUCUCCAGCACUCAGCUGGUGUAUGUGGUCUCAGACCUGGGCAGGCUGCAGGAAUGGCUUCCAGACCUCCUGGAGACAGUCAGGCUGAAACUUGAGAUGGUCGGCUUUAAGAAUUUCUCAUCUAUCUCAGCGGCCCUGGAAGACUCCCAGAGUGCCUUGUCUGCCCAUGUGCCAGCUCUGAGUAGCAGGAUUGUGCAGGACCUGAGCGAGUCUUGCUUCGGUUAUCUGAAGAGUGCCCUGGAGGUGCCCAGGCUUUACCGCAGGACCAAUAAGGAGGUCCCCAGCACAGCCUCUUCAUAUGUGGACAGUGCCCUGAAGCCACUGUACCAGCUUCAGAGUGGACAUGGGGACAAGGUGCAGCCAGCAGUGAUGCAGCGCUGGCUACAGGAAGCUCUGUCUGACAGCACACACAAGUACUUUGAGACUGUGUCAGACGUGCUGAGUUCAGUGAGGAAGAUGGAGGAAAGCCUGAAGCGCCUCAAACAAGCCAGGAGAUCCCCGGCCACCAACCCUGUCAGCUCCAGUGGCGGCAUGAGUGAUGACGACAAGAUCCGACUGCAGCUGGCUCUGGACGUGGAGCACCUGGGAGAACAGAUCCAAAAGAUGGGCUUGCAGACCAGUGACAUCAAGAGCUUCCCGGCCCUCACGGAGCUUGUCCUUGCCGCCAGGGACCAGGCAGCUGCAGAGCAGCCCUAGGCGUCCUGGAGUGGGGAAAAAAGCAACCCUUGUCCUCCGAGUCACCUAGCAACAGCCUGCACCGCUGCCCACGUGUGGGGCCGUCUUUCACCCAGAAAGAACCAAAGCUUUUCCAUCGUAUGGAAGAGAUGCUCUCCAAAGAAGUUGCAGAUCAGGGCAUCGAGGCAUCCCCGUCCUAAUCUACCUCAGCUUCGUGGAGGAUGCAAAGCUGGACUAAGCAGGAACAGAGAUGCCAAGAGAGCUGAGGGAGACUGCUGUGACCCAUGCCACUGGGAGCCAGAGAGCCCUGGCAGUGCCUACUGGGCCUGCUCUUUCCUUCCUGCCCUGCUGACCCUGCGCAUAGCUUCCUCCAUGUGGCCAUCCGCCUGCCCGCCCUCCCCUGAGACACAGCCAGGGCAGCACUCACCUCUCCCACUCGGGGGUUGGUGUCACCCAUCUUGCCCAGAUUUGCCUCAGCACCCAAAAGGGUAGACAGCUUGGCCUGAGCCAGCAGGUCCUGCAGGUUGUAGGAUCCCCGAAUUUCCAGCUGCGGCAGGGUCAGACGGAUGGCCCUGUGGAGAUAAUGCCUUUAGGGUGCUGGGGAGCUCCCACCCACUGAGAAAGGAGAGUAACUGCUCAGCCAGCCAGUGUUGUGCAGCUGUGUCCCGAGUUGAAACAGUUGCAUAAGACACAUCUGGAAGCUGGGAGAGCCACGGGUUCCUCCCCGAAUUGUAUAAACAGGAAAUAGUGGAUGGGGUAGGAGGACUGGUAGAGAUGCCUCAGGUUGUUCAGGGAGCUCCAAGGAUGCAGCUUCCACGGGUGGUCGCCCAUGCUGCCUCACGGAGGUAACCACAAUGAAUGUUCUGAAUGACCGAAUCCUACUCGGAGGGAAUUGAUUCUUCGCUCCGAAGUCCCUGCCCUAUCUGGGGUGAAUACAUAUUUGCUUGCGUAUAUGCCCAGACGGGCCACACAACACAGGACGUUGUCACCCCAAGGAACUUCUUGGAAACAAACACAACAAAACCUCCUGAAACAGGAGGAGAACCUGGAACAUCUACUGUGGAGAGCUCGGGGCUGGUGGGCAGCUGUCUGCCCUUCGUUCUCAGCCCGGCUGCGUGAGGAACACCUUCCCUGGAAAAGCCAAAGAUGCUUUUGAGUAACUGGCUAUUAGCCUGACAGACAGAGCACCUCAACCCUAUCAUCCAGGCGCUUGAGAAGCAGAGGUGGGGGAAUUACCACAAACUCUAGAUGCUCUCUAAAAACCAAAAUGCUAAUGAGAUAGUGCCCACCCCUGCUGGAUAGUUUUAUGUCAACUUGACACAAGCUAGAGUCUCAACUAAGAGAGCGCCUCCUUUAAGAUCAGGCUGUAGGCAGGCCUGUAGGGCAUUUUCUUAAUUAAUGAUUGAUGGGGGGAGGGGCCAGCCCAUAGUGGGUGGUUCCACCCUGGAAUGGUGGUCCUGUUUCUAUAAUAAAGCAGGCUGGCCAAGCCAGGAGGAACAAGUCAGUGAACAGCGCCCCUCCAUGGCCUCUGCAUCAGCUCCUGCUCCCAGGUUCCUGCCGUUUGAGUUCCCGUCUUGUCUUCCUUCAGUGAUGGGCUAUGAUCUAGAAGUGUAAACCAGAUAAACCCUUUCCUCCCCAACUUGCAUUUUGGUCACGAUGCUUCCUUGCAGCAAAUAUUAACCCUAAAAACAGCCCCAGUUGGGUCCUUGCCUCCCCGUGGAGGAAGGUAGUAUCCGUAACCUCACAGAUAACAGCCAUACCCGCAACCACACUGCUCCCGAUGGCAGGAUGUGGGAGGGGUGGUGACAGGACAGACCUGGACAGGCUGACGUGUGAGCGUGCAUUGGAUGCAAAUCUACUUCCCAAGGGUCCCACAUGCUUCCUACCGAGGAGGCGGGUUCUUUAUCCAAGUCAGGAAGUCGUGCUGGAAGACGAGGACCUCCACCCUGUCGAGAUCUGAGGCGCACUGGGGCUGGAUCAGCAGCAGGGUGACACUCUCACCCAGGGGCACGCGUGUCACGGAGAAGUUGUUCUGGGCGUCACUCCAGUGCUGGAAGUUGCCAGUGCCCGAGAGCAUGGGCACAGACACUGAGGUGCUGUUGUCCACCCAGAACUCAUGGAGCCCAGUCAGCUGGGAGAAGCCUCUCAUCUUCCCUGAAAGCAACAGAGACCAAAGGAAACUCAACGGGGGUAGGAUGGGGAGGCAGGGCUGGGACUCUUCCACCCUGGCUCCUGCCUCAGCUUCCUCACCUCUACUCCCUCUGUGAUGCUGUACUGACCUGGAGAUGUCACCUUCAGGUGCUCUCUGAUGCUACUUCUAAUUGUAGCCACUUGAGUUCCCUGCAGAGACCCCAAGAGCAGCAAAAAACACAGCCCAUGUUGGUGUGGAGUCUGAGGUCUCACAUGGGACACCCGAGGGACUCAGUCUGCUCCUACCUGAACAGACAAGCUCAACCCAGACCUGUUCUGGUUUGCAAACUCACUCUUUAGAACCUCAGACAUUAUUAUGGUCUGGAGAGAUGGCUCCAUGGUAACUUGGCUCUAUAGGCCUGAUGACCUGCACCUACAGCCCCAGUCCCUCGUAAGAGCCAGGCAUUGGGCUGGAGAAAUGACUCAGCGGUUAGGAGCACUGACUGCUCUUCCAGAGGUCCUGAGUUCAAAUCCCAGCAACCACAUGGUGGUUCACAACCAUCUGUAAUGGGAACUGAUGCCCCCUUCUGGUGUGCAAGUGUACCUGCAGGCAGAACUCUAUACAUAAUAAAUAAAUGAAGAAAAAAGAAAUGAGAAAUGUGAAACAGGA